This 496-nucleotide ribosomal RNA is filed under the name uncultured bacterium. Its description in RNAcentral is "partial 16S ribosomal RNA". It matches the Rfam family "Bacterial small subunit ribosomal RNA", at positions 28 to 506 of the family's 1533-position model. The record is from RNAcentral.
GAUGAACGCUGGCGGCGUGCCUAAUACAUGCAAGUCGAGCGAACGGACGAGAAGCUUGCUUCUCUGAUGUUAGCGGCGGACGGGUGAGUAACACGUGGAUAACCUACCUAUAAGACUGGGAUAACUUCGGGAAACCGGAGCUAAUACCGGAUAAUAUUUUGAACCGCAUGGUUCAAAAGUGAAAGACGGUCUUGCUGUCACUUAUAGAUGGAUCCGCGCUGCAUUAGCUAGUUGGUAAGGUAACGGCUUACCAAGGCAACGAUGCAUAGCCGACCUGAGAGGGGGAUCGGCCACACUGGAACUGAGACACGGUCCAGACUCCUACGGGAGGCAGCAGUAGGGAAUCUGCCGCAAUGGGCGAAAGCCUGACGGAGCAACGCCGCGUGAGUGAUGAAGGUCUUCGGAUCGUAAAACUCUGUUAUGAGGGAAGAACAUAUGUGUAAGUAACUGGGCACAUCUUGACGGUACCUAAGCAGAAAGCCACGGCUAACUACGU